GGCAGCACGGGAGCUUGCUCCUGGUGGCGAGUGGCGAACGGGUGAGUAAUGCGUCGGAACGUACCGAGUAAUGGGGGAUAACGCAGCGAAAGCUGUGCUAAUACCGCAUACGCCCUGAGGGGGAAAGUGGGGGAUCGCAAGACCUCACGUUAUUCGAGCGGCCGACGUCUGAUUAGCUAGUUGGUGGGGUAAAGGCUCACCAAGGCGACGAUCAGUAGCGGGUCUGAGAGGAUGAUCCGUCACACUGGAACUGAGACACGGUCCAGACUCCUACGGGAGGCAGCAGUGGGGAAUUUUGGACAAUGGGGGCAACCCUGAUCCAGCCAUUCCGCGUGAGUGAAGAAGGCCUUCGGGUUGUAAAGCUCUUUCAGCCGGAACGAAACGGUACGCACUAAUAUUGUGUGCUAAUGACGGUACCGGCAGAAGAAGCACCGGCUAACUACGUGCCAGCAGCCGCGGUAAUACGUAGGGUGCGAGCGUUAAUCGGAAUUACUGGGCGUAAAGCGUGCGCAGGCGGAUUGUUAAGCAAGAUGUGAAAUCCCCGGGCUUAACCUGGGAAUGGCAUUUUGAACUGGCAGUCUAGAGUGUGUCAGAGGGGGGUGGAAUUCCACGUGUAGCAGUGAAAUGCGUAGAUAUGUGGAGGAACACCAAUGGCGAAGGCAGCCCCCUGGGAUAACACUGACGCUCAUGUACGAAAGCGUGGGUAGCAAACAGGAUUAGAUACCCUGGUAGUCCACGCCCU
This 742-nucleotide ribosomal RNA is filed under the name uncultured bacterium. Its description in RNAcentral is "bacterial SSU rRNA". It matches the Rfam family "Bacterial small subunit ribosomal RNA", at positions 68 to 803 of the family's 1533-position model. The record is from RNAcentral.